UACGGAGGGUGCAAGCGUUAUCCGGAUUUACUGGGCUUAAAGGGUGCGUAGGCGGUUAGGUAAGUCCGUGGUGAAAUCCUGCAGCUUAACUGCAGAACUGCCGUGGAUACUAUCUAUCUUGAAUGUCGUGGAGGUUAGCGGAAUAUGUCAUGUAGCGGUGAAAUGCUUAGAUAUGACAUAGAACACCCAUUGCGAAGGCAGCUAACUACGCGAAUAUUGACGCUGAGGCGCGAAAGCGUGGGGAUCAAACAGG
RNAcentral lists this ribosomal RNA (253 nucleotides) under uncultured bacterium. Its description in RNAcentral is "partial 16S ribosomal RNA". It matches the Rfam family "Bacterial small subunit ribosomal RNA", at positions 524 to 776 of the family's 1533-position model. The record is from RNAcentral.